CACUCCUGCGGGAGGCAGCAGUGGGGAAUAUUGGACAAUGGGCGCAAGCCUGAUCCAGCCAUGCCGCGUGAGUGAUGAAGGCCCUAGGGUUGUAAAGCUCUUUCACCGGUGAAGAUAAUGACGGUAACCGGAGAAGAAGCCCCGGCUAACUUCGUGCCAGCAGCCGCGGUAAUACGAAGGGGGCUAGCGUUGUUCGGAUUUACUGGGCGUAAAGCGCACGUAGGCGGACUAUUAAGUCAGGGGUGAAAUCCCGGGGCUCAACCCCGGAACUGCCUUUGAUACUGGUAGUCUUGAGUUCGAGAGAGGUGAGUGGAAUUCCGAGUGUAGAGGUGAAAUUCGUAGAUAUUCGGAGGAACACCAGUGGCGAAGGCGGCUCACUGGCUCGAUACUGACGCUGAGGUGCGAAAGCGUGGGGAGCAAACAGGAUUAGAAACCCCAGUAGUCCCAUG
RNAcentral lists this ribosomal RNA (449 nucleotides) under uncultured organism. RNAcentral describes it as "partial 16S ribosomal RNA". It matches the Rfam family "Bacterial small subunit ribosomal RNA", at positions 334 to 799 of the family's 1533-position model. The record is from RNAcentral.